UACGAAGGGGGCUAGCGUUGCUCGGAAUCACUGGGCGUAAAGGGCGCGUAGGCGGAUCUUUAAGUCGGGGGUGAAAGCCUGAGGCUCAACCUCAGAAUUGCCUUCGAUACUGGAGAUCUUGAGACCGGAAGAGGUAAGUGGAACUGCGAGUGUAGAGGUGAAAUUCGUAGAUAUUCGCAAGAACACCAGUGGCGAAGGCGGCUCACUGGUCCAUUACUGACGCUGAGGUGCGAAAGCGUGGGGAGCAAACAGG
RNAcentral lists this ribosomal RNA (253 nucleotides) under uncultured bacterium. RNAcentral describes it as "partial 16S ribosomal RNA". It matches the Rfam family "Bacterial small subunit ribosomal RNA", at positions 524 to 776 of the family's 1533-position model. The record is from RNAcentral.